RNAcentral lists this ribosomal RNA (586 nucleotides) under Sardinella gibbosa. Its description in RNAcentral is "partial 16S ribosomal RNA". It matches the Rfam family "Bacterial large subunit ribosomal RNA", at positions 1814 to 2606 of the family's 2925-position model. Lineage: Eukaryota; Metazoa; Chordata; Actinopteri; Clupeiformes; Clupeidae. The record is from RNAcentral.
CAUCGCCUCCUGCUUAUAAUAACAUAGGAGGUCCCGCCUGCCCUGUGACCAAAAGUUUAACGGCCGCGGUAUUUUAACCGUGCAAAGGUAGCGCAAUCAAUUGUCUUUUAAAUGGAGACCUGUAUGAAUGGCAUAACGAGGGUUUUACUGUCUCUUUUUUCUGGUCAAUGAAACUGAUCUGCCCGUGCAGAAGCGGGCAUAAUAACACAAGACGAGAAGACCCUAUGGAGCUUUAGACGCCCACCAACCGCGAAGAGCACCCCGACGACGGGCCACCAAAUAACGCGACCAUGGUAUAAACGUCUUCGGUUGGGGCGACCACGGGGGAACACAAAGCCCCCGAGAGGAUUGGGGAUCCAACCCUAAAACCAAGAGCCACAGCUCUAAGUCACAAAACAUUUGACCCAGAAUGAUCCGGCUCAUUGCCGAUCAACGGACCAAGUUACCCUAGGGAUAACAGCGCAAUCCUCUCCCAGAGUCCAUAUCGACGAGAGGGUUUACGACCUCGAUGUUGGAUCAGGACAUCCUAAUGGUGCAGCCGCUAUUAAGGGUUCGUUUGUUCAACGAUUAAAGUCCUACGUGAUCU